GACGAACGCUGGCGGCGUGCUUAACACAUGCAAGUCGAACGGUGAAGCUCCAGCUUGCUGGAGUGGAUCAGUGGCGAACGGGUGAGUAACACGUGAGCAACCUGCCCCUGACUCUGGAAUAAGCGCUGGAAACGGCGUCUAAUACUGGAUACGAGAAGGGUCCGCAUGGGCACUUUCUGGAAAGUUUUUCGGUUGGGGAUGGGCUCGCGGCCUAUCAGCUUGUUGGUGAGGUAAUGGCUCACCAAGGCGACGACGGGUAGCCGGCCUGAGAGGGCGACCGGCCCACACGGGACCGGAGAAAGGGCCCAAAUUCCACCGGGGGCAAGAGGUGGGAAUAUUGCACAAUGGGCGAAAGCCUGAUGCAGCGACGCCGCGUGAGGGAUGACGGCCUUCGGGUUGUAAACCUCUUUCAGCAGGGAAGAAGCGAAAGUGACGGUACCUGCAGAAGAAGCACCGGCUAACUACGUG
RNAcentral lists this ribosomal RNA (468 nucleotides) under uncultured bacterium. RNAcentral describes it as "partial 16S ribosomal RNA". It matches the Rfam family "Bacterial small subunit ribosomal RNA", at positions 28 to 507 of the family's 1533-position model. The record is from RNAcentral.